This 497-nucleotide ribosomal RNA is filed under the name uncultured bacterium. Its description in RNAcentral is "partial 16S ribosomal RNA". It matches the Rfam family "Bacterial small subunit ribosomal RNA", at positions 28 to 507 of the family's 1533-position model. The record is from RNAcentral.
GAUGAACGCUGGCGGCGUGCCUAAUACAUGCAAGUCGAGCGAACGGACGCGAAGCUUGCUUUUCUGAUGUUAGCGGCGGACGGGUGAGUAACACGUGGAUAACCUACCUAUAAGACUGGGAUAACUUCGGGAAACCGGAGCUAAUACCGGAUAAUAUUUUGAACCGCAUGGUUCAAAAGUGAAAGACGGUCUUGCUGUCACUUAUAGCUGGAUCCGCGCUGCAUUAGCUAGUUGGUAAGGUAACGGCUUACCAAGGCGACUAUGCAUAGCCGACCUGACAGGGGGAUCGGCCACACGGGAACUGGGACAGGGUCCAGACUCCUACGGGAGGCAGCAGUAGGGAAUCGUCCGCAAUGGGCGAGAGCCUGACGGAGCAACGGCGCGUGAGUGAUGAAGGUCUUCGGAUCGUAAAACUCUGUUAUUAGUUAAGAACAGAUGUGUAAGUAACUGUGCACAUCUUGACGGUACCGAAUCAGAAAGCCACGGCUAACUACGUG